This 437-nucleotide long non-coding RNA is filed under the name Glycine max (soybean). RNAcentral's name for it is "long non-coding RNA (GMAX_LNC003446)". Lineage: Eukaryota; Viridiplantae; Streptophyta; Magnoliopsida; Fabales; Fabaceae. The record is from RNAcentral.
GUAUUUUUCGCUUAGCAUCAGGUUUUUUAAAGUGAUGUCGUCAAUGUUUUAUUCUAAUAUCAAUUUCACUUUGUCACGCCAUUCCUUCCCCUAGCUCCCUCAAAAAUUUUCAUUCCCUCUCUCUGUUGCCCAAACCCUCAAACCAAACCCCUCUGUUACCACAACCUCUUCUCCCAAAUCCUACAGUGGCUACCUCUUCUCCCUAAUCCUACAGUGGCUACCUCUUCUCCCACCCCAAACUUUUCCCUUCAUUCUUGACAUUGAUUUUCCUCUAACCCCCAGACACGGUUCAAAAUAAAAAGACAAGACAAGAUGAUCGGGACUAAUGCCAUUUCAAAACGCACAAAAGAGAGAGAAAAAGAAAGAGUGUGUGCUUUUUGAAAUUUUUGUAUCAGAAAUUGAAUACAGUAGUAAAGAUGAAACCCCCAUUUGUUGAG